AGCUUUUUGCAGUGACAGUAUCGUAGCCAAUUAGGCUUAUCUGAGGUCUGAUUAUUGCUAAUCACAAUGACAGCAAUGAUUAAUGAGACCCCUUACUUUAUUUCUUAAGGUAAUUCCAGGAGUUGUAAUAGACA
RNAcentral lists this small nuclear RNA (134 nucleotides) under Microcebus murinus (gray mouse lemur). Its description in RNAcentral is "U4 spliceosomal RNA (ENSMICG00000046576.1)". The record is from RNAcentral. Lineage: Eukaryota; Metazoa; Chordata; Mammalia; Primates; Cheirogaleidae.